AACGUAGGACGCAAGCGUUAUCCGGAAUUACAGGGCGUAAAGCGCGUGUAGGCGGAUGUUUAAGUCACUGUUGAAAGCUCUUGGCUAAACUGGGAGAGGUGCGGUGAUACUGGACAUCUAGAGGGGGUCAGAGGGAUGCAGAAUUCCGGGUGUAGUGGUGAAAUGCGCAGAGAUCCGGAGGAAUACCAGAGACGAAGGCGGCAUCCUGGGGCUUCACUGACGCUGAGACGCGAAACCAUGGGGAGCGAACGGG
This 253-nucleotide ribosomal RNA is filed under the name uncultured bacterium. RNAcentral's name for it is "partial 16S ribosomal RNA". It matches the Rfam family "Bacterial small subunit ribosomal RNA", at positions 524 to 776 of the family's 1533-position model. The record is from RNAcentral.